Molecule: long non-coding RNA, 1121 nt
Organism: Lepisosteus oculatus (spotted gar)
Lineage: Eukaryota; Metazoa; Chordata; Actinopteri; Semionotiformes; Lepisosteidae
Source: Ensembl
CGGCUCCGGCCUUGCAGGAGGCACAGGGAGGCACUGAGGAAGGAGAGAGACAGGCAGAGAGAGAGAGGAGGAGGCAGGGAGGGAGGGGGAGAGGGGAGUGGGAGGGAGAGGCAGGGAGAGGGUGACAGGAAAGGAGGCACAGAGGGAGAGAGACAGGAGUGGGAGAGAGAGGAAUGGGAGAGAGAGGAGUGGGAGAGAGAGGAGUAGGAGAGAGAGGAGAAGGAGAGAGAGGAGUAGGAGAGAGAGACAGGGAGAGAGAGGAGUAGGAGAGAGAGACAGGGAGAGAGAGGAGUAGGAGAGAGGAGUGGGAGAGAGAGGAGUAGGAGAGAGAGACGGGAAGAGAGAGGAGUGGGAGAGAGAGGAGUGGGAGAGAUAGACAGGGAGAGAGAGGAGUGGGAGAGAGAGAGGAGUGGGAGAGAGGGGAGUGGGAGAGAGAGGAGUGGGAGAGAGGAGAGUGGGAUAGAGAGACAGAGAGAGAGGAGUAGGAGAGAGAGGAGUGGGAGAGAGGGGAGUGGGAGAGAGAGACAGGGAGAGAGAGGAGUAGGAGAGAGAGGAGCAGGAGAGAGAGAGGAGUGGGAGAGAUGGAGGAACAGAGAGACAGAAAAAGGCCAGAGAGAGGAGAGAGAGAGAGAAGCAGGUUGAAGAAGCGUCUCCCUAACAGUCUCUUCCACACCCUGCACAGGGCAGAGCACCCCACUGCGCUCUGGGCACUGCGGUCACCCCAAACCCUACAGGGGGCACACACACACCUCCCUCCUGCAGCGGGAGUACAGCAGGGGGCAGGGAGAGGAGACGCCACCCCCAAAGACUGUUACAGGGGUACAGCGGGGGUACAGCAGGGGGCAGGGAGAGGAGACGCCACCCCCAAAGACUGUUACAGGGGUACAGCGGGGGUAGGGAGAGGAGACGCCACCCCCAAAGACUGUUACAGGGGUACAGUGGGGGUACAGCAGGGGGCAGGGAGAGGAGACGCCACCCCCAAAUACUGUUACAGGGGUACAGCGGGGGUACAGCAGGGGGCAGGGAGAGGAGAGGCACUACAGAGAGACGCCACCCCCAAAGAGUGUUACAGGGGUACAGCGGGGGUACAGCAGGGGGCAGGGAGAGGAGAGACACUACAG